UACGUAGGUGGCAAGCGUUGUCCGGAUUUACUGGGCGUAAAGAGCGCGCAGGCGGUCGUUCAAGUCGCGUGUGAAAGCCCCCGGCUCAACUGGGGAGGGUCACGCGAUACUGAUCGACUCGAAGGCAGGAGAGGGUAGUGGAAUUCCCGGUGUAGUGGUGAAAUACGUAGAUAUCUGGAGGAAUACCGGUGGCGAAGGCGGCAUCCUGGACCGACAUUGACGCUGAACGGCGAAAGCUAGGGGAGCAAACGGG
Molecule: ribosomal RNA, 253 nt
Filed under: uncultured bacterium
Lineage: Bacteria
Description: partial 16S ribosomal RNA
Rfam family: Bacterial small subunit ribosomal RNA
Source: RNAcentral